This 473-nucleotide ribosomal RNA is filed under the name uncultured bacterium. Its description in RNAcentral is "partial 16S ribosomal RNA". It matches the Rfam family "Bacterial small subunit ribosomal RNA", at positions 355 to 822 of the family's 1533-position model. The record is from RNAcentral.
UGGGGAAUAUUGCACAAUGGGCGCAAGCCUGAUGCAGCCAUGCCGCGUGUGUGAAGAAGGCCUUCGGGUUGUAAAGCACUUUCAGCGAGGAGGAAGGUGGUGAGCUUAAUACGCUCAUCAAUUGACGUUACUCGCAGAAGAAGCACCGGCUAACUCCGUGCCAGCAGCCGCGGUAAUACGGAGGGUGCAAGCGUUAAUCGGAAUUACUGGGCGUAAAGCGCACGCAGGCGGUUUGUUAAGUCAGAUGUGAAAUCCCCGGGCUCAACCUGGGAACUGCAUUUGAAACUGGCAAGCUAGAGUCUCGUAGAGGGGGGUAGAAUUCCAGGUGUAGCGGUGAAAUGCGUAGAGAUCUGGAGGAAUACCGGUGGCGAAGGCGGCCCCCUGGACGAAGACUGACGCUCAGGUGCGAAAGCGUGGGGAGCAAACAGAUUAGAUACCCUGGUAGUCACGCUGUAAACGAUGUCGAUUUUGGA